UACGUAGGGUGCGAGCGUUGUCCGGAAUUAUUGGGCGUAAAGGGCUCGUAGGCGGUUUGUCGCGUCGGGAGUGAAAACCUUGGGCUUAACUCAGGGCUUGCUUUCGAUACGGGCAGACUAGAGGUAUGCAGGGGAGAACGGAAUUCCUGGUGUAGCGGUGAAAUGCGUAGAUAUCUGGAGGAACACCGGUGGCGAAGGCGGCGUCCUGGACCAACACUGACACUGAAUAGCGAAAGCCAGGGGAGCAAACGGG
Molecule: ribosomal RNA, 253 nt
Filed under: uncultured bacterium
Lineage: Bacteria
Description: partial 16S ribosomal RNA
Rfam family: Bacterial small subunit ribosomal RNA
Source: RNAcentral